AGCGGCGAACGGGUGAGGAAUACAUGGGUGACCUACCCUCGAGUGGGGAAUAACUAGCCGAAAGGUUAGCUAAUACCGCAUACGACUCUCGGUCUGCGGAUCGGGAGGGAAAGCGAUACCAUGGGUAUCGCGCUCUUGGAUGGGCUCAUGUCCUAUCAGCUUGUUGGUGAGGUAACGGCUCACCAAGGCUUCGACGGGUAGCUGGUCUGAGAGGACGAUCAGCCACACUGGCACUGCGACACGGGCCAGACUCCUACGGGAGGCAGCAGUAAGGAAUAUUGCGCAAUGGGCGACAGCCUGACGCAGCGACGCCGCGUGGGGGAUGAAGGUCUUCGGAUUGUAAACCCCUUUCGGGAGGGAAGAUGGAGCGGGUAACCGUUCGGACGGUACCUCCAGAAGCAGCCACGGCUAACUUCGUGCCAGCAGCCGCGGUAAUACGAAGGUGGCAAGCGUUGUUCGGAUUCACUGGGCGUACAGGGAGCGUAGGCGGUUGGGUAAGCCCUUCGUGAAAUCUCCGGGCCUAACCCGGAAAGUGCGGAGGGGACUGCUCGGCUAGAGGAUGGGAGAGGAGCGCGGAAUUCCCGGUGUAGCGGUGAAAUGCGUAGAGAUCGGGAGGAAGGCCGGUGGCGAAGGCGGCGCUCUGGAACAUUUCUGACGCUGAGGCUCGAAAGCGUGGGGAGCAAACAGGAUUAGAUACCCUGUAGUCCACGCCUU
RNAcentral lists this ribosomal RNA (714 nucleotides) under uncultured Nitrospira sp. RNAcentral describes it as "bacterial SSU rRNA". It matches the Rfam family "Bacterial small subunit ribosomal RNA", at positions 94 to 803 of the family's 1533-position model. Lineage: Bacteria; Pseudomonadati; Nitrospirota; Nitrospiria; Nitrospirales; Nitrospiraceae. The record is from RNAcentral.